This 206-nucleotide long non-coding RNA is filed under the name Musa acuminata (dwarf banana). RNAcentral describes it as "long non-coding RNA (MACU_LNC011650)". Lineage: Eukaryota; Viridiplantae; Streptophyta; Magnoliopsida; Zingiberales; Musaceae. The record is from RNAcentral.
GCGUGGGGAGAAGAAGAAGAGAAGUUGAGGGAGAAGAGAAGAAAAGAAGAAGAAGAGGGAAAAGAAGAGAUUAGGAAGAAGAGGGAGAAGAGAAGAAGAAGAAGAAGAAGAGAGGGAAGAUGGAGAGGAGAGAGAGAGAGGCAGCAGCUGCAGCUACGGCUGCAGCACCUCUGUUUCCCGCAGGUGGAAACAGAGGAGAGGAUGUG